This 497-nucleotide ribosomal RNA is filed under the name uncultured bacterium. RNAcentral's name for it is "partial 16S ribosomal RNA". It matches the Rfam family "Bacterial small subunit ribosomal RNA", at positions 28 to 507 of the family's 1533-position model. The record is from RNAcentral.
GAUGAACGCUGGCGGCGUGCCUAAUACAUGCAAGUCGAGCGAACAGAUGAGGAGCUUACUCCUCUGACGUUAGCGGCGGACGGGUGAGUAACACGUGGAUAACCUACCUAUAAGACUGGGAUAACUUCGGGAAACCGGAGCUAAUACCGGAUAAUAUAUUGAACCGCAUGGUUCAAUAGUGAAAGACGGUUUUGCUGUCACUUAUAGAUGGAUCCGCGCCGCAUUAGCUAGUUGGUAAGGUAACGGCUUACAAAGGCAACGAUGCGUAGCUGACCUGAGAGGGUGAUCGGCCACACUGGAACUGAGACACGGUCCAGACUCCUACGGGAGGCAGCAGUAGGGAAUCUUCCGCAAUGGGCGAAAGCCUGACGGAGCAACGCCGCGUGAGUGAUGAAGGUCUUCGGAUCGUAAAACUCUGUUAUUAGGGAAGAACAAAUGUGUAAGUAACUAUGCACGUCUUGACGGUACCUAAUCAGAAAGCCACGGCUAACUACGUG